GUAGUUAGCCGGGGCUUCCUCACAGGGUACCGUCACUUCUUCGUCCCCUGCGACAGAGGUUUACAAUCCGAAAACCUUCUUCCCUCACGCGGCGUUGCUGGGUCAGGCUUGCGCCCAUUGCCCAAUAUUCCCCACUGCUGCCUCCCGUAGGAGUCUGGACCGUGUCUCAGUUCCAGUGUGGCCGAUCAGCCUCUCAGCUCGGCUACCCAUCGUCGGCUUGGUGAGCUGUUAUCUCACCAACUACCUAAUGGGACGCGAACCCCUCUUAUAGCGAUAAAUCUUUGACCCCUUCCUGAUGUCAGGUUGUGGUCUCAUGCGGUAUUAGCACUUGUUUCCAACUGUUAUCCCCCAUACUAAGGCAGGUUGUUCACGCGUUACUCACCCGUUCGCCACUCAAAUUAUAAAUUCCAUCCGAAAACUUCCUUUAUAAUCUCCGUUCGACUUGCAUGUGUUAGGCACGCCGCCAGCGUUCGUCCUGAGCCAGGAUCAAACUCUGA
This 497-nucleotide ribosomal RNA is filed under the name uncultured bacterium. Its description in RNAcentral is "partial 16S ribosomal RNA". The record is from RNAcentral.